AGCUUUGCACAGUGGUAGUAUCAUAGCCACUGAGGUCUGAGAUGCAAUCAUUGCUCACUGAAAACUUUCCCCCAAAACUCUGUCAUGAUGACUUGCAAUGUAGUUGACACUGGUAAUUUUUCACAGUCUCUAAGGAGA
Cercocebus atys (sooty mangabey) is the source of this 138-nucleotide small nuclear RNA. Its record names the gene U4. It matches the Rfam family "U4 spliceosomal RNA". From Rfam's summary of the family: U4 small nuclear RNA (U4 snRNA) is a component of the major U2-dependent spliceosome. The record is from Ensembl. Lineage: Eukaryota; Metazoa; Chordata; Mammalia; Primates; Cercopithecidae.